RNAcentral lists this ribosomal RNA (465 nucleotides) under uncultured bacterium. RNAcentral's name for it is "partial 16S ribosomal RNA". It matches the Rfam family "Bacterial small subunit ribosomal RNA", at positions 338 to 795 of the family's 1533-position model. The record is from RNAcentral.
CCUACGGGAGGCAGCAGUGGGGAAUAUUGCACAAUGGGCGCAAGCCUGAUGCAGCCACGCCGCGUGUAUGAUGAAGGUCUUCGGGUUGUAAAGUACUUUCAGCGGGGAGGAAGGUGUAGUGGUCUAUAAACGCCGCAAUUGACGGUACCGGCAGAGGAAGCACCGGCGAACUCCGUGCCAGCAGCCGCGGUAAUACGGAGGGUGCAAGCGUUAGUCGGAAUUACUGGGCGUAAAGCGCUCGAAGGCGGUCUGUCAAGUCAAAGGUGAAAUCCCCGUGCUCAACGUGGGAACUGCCGUUGAGACUGGCAGGCUUGAGUGUGGGAGAGGUUGGUGGAAUUCCAGGUGUAGGGGUGAAAUCCGUAGAGAUCUGGAGGAACAUCAGUGGCGAAGGCGACUAUCUGGCCCAUAACUGACGCUGAGGAGCGAAAGCGUGGGUAGCAAACAGGAUUAGAUACCCGGGUAGUC